GCCGAUGGCGGUAGCGUAGUGGUAAGCGCUCCCGAGGCAACUACCAAAAAUUGCGGGAUUGGUCACCUUUCUUCUUGGAGGUGGUCGGUUCGAUUCCCGUCGCCGGCA
Molecule: transfer RNA, 108 nt
Filed under: Aspergillus brasiliensis
Lineage: Eukaryota; Fungi; Ascomycota; Eurotiomycetes; Eurotiales; Aspergillaceae
Description: tRNA-Ser
Source: RNAcentral